Molecule: non-coding RNA, 519 nt
Organism: Perca flavescens (yellow perch)
Lineage: Eukaryota; Metazoa; Chordata; Actinopteri; Perciformes; Percidae
Source: the annotation of a RefSeq genome assembly
AGUCCAGAUGUUUCCUCCCUGUGAGGAGGAGUCGAUGCAAAACUCAGAUAUCUUCACCUCUACUUAUCUGAGUGCAGAGAGGAGGACAGAGAACAGUGGACACACAGUUUAACAUGAUGGACUAUAGGACAGGACUGCAGCUGUUAACUCUCUGCUGGGCAGGUGUUGAUGGUCAGACUCUGACAGAAUCUGAACCAGCGAUUAAAAGACCUGGAGAAUCCCACAGAUUGACCUGUACAACAUCUGGAUUGUCAUUCAGCAGCUACGGAAUGAGCUGGAUCAGACAGGCUCCUGGAAAAGGACUGGAGUGGAUCGCUUACAUCAGCAGUGGCAGCAGCGGCAUCUAUUACUCUCAGUCAGUCCAAGGCCGGUUUACCAUCUCCAGAGACAACAGCAGAGAGCAGCUGUAUCUGCAGAUGAACAGUCUGAAGACUGAAGAUUCUGCUGUUUAUUAUUGUGCUCGAGACCCACAGUGACUGGAGUUGGUUGAGCAGCUGUACAAAAUCCUACAGUACUCAU